CGAAGGAAAGGGGUUCUGAGAGGAAGGUCCCCCACAUUGGAACUGAGACACGGUCCAAAACUCCUACGGGGAGGCAGCAAGUGAGGAAUAUUGGUCAAUGGGCGAGAGCCUGAACCAGCCAAGUAGCGUGAAGGAUGACUGCCCUAUGGGUUGUAAACUUCUUUUAUAAAGGAAUAAAGUCGGGUAUGCAUACCCGUUUGCAUGUACUUUAUGAAUAAGGAUCGGCUAACUCCGUGCCAGCAGCCGCGGUAAUACGGAGGAUCCGAGCGUUAUCCGGAUUUAUUGGGUUUAAAGGGAGCGUAGAUGGAUGUUUAAGUCAGUUGUGAAAGUUUGCGGCUCAACCGUAAAAUUGCAGUUGAUACUGGAUAUCUUGAGUGCAGUUGAGGCAGGCGGAAUUCGUGGUGUAGCGGUGAAAUGCUUAGAUAUCACGAAGAACUCCGAUUGCGAAGGCAGCCUGCUAAGCUGCAACUGACAUUGAGGCUCGAAAGUGUGGGUAUCAAACAGGAUUAGAUACCCUGGUAGUCCACACGGUAAACGAUGAAUACUCGCUGUUUGCGAUAUACAGCAAGCGGCCAAGCGAAAGUCGUUAAGUAUUCCACCUGGGGAGUA
RNAcentral lists this ribosomal RNA (609 nucleotides) under uncultured bacterium. Its description in RNAcentral is "bacterial SSU rRNA". It matches the Rfam family "Bacterial small subunit ribosomal RNA", at positions 277 to 882 of the family's 1533-position model. The record is from RNAcentral.